Molecule: long non-coding RNA, 170 nt
Filed under: Octodon degus (degu)
Lineage: Eukaryota; Metazoa; Chordata; Mammalia; Rodentia; Octodontidae
Description: Pvt1 onco conserved region 2 (ENSODEG00000024157.1)
Rfam family: Pvt1 oncogene conserved region 2
Source: RNAcentral
GCCAUCAGCUGUCAGAGGUGCGGGAAGCCGGCUAUCACCGGGAGACAGAAGCGUCAUACUGGCGCUGUGGACUGAGCCAUGCGCUGAGCCCAAGGUUACCUCCGGUGCUGCAUCUCUUCCACAGGAGUGGAGAGAGCUGCUGGGGGUCCUGGGGGUGAGGAUGCCUGAGG